AGAGUUUGAUCCUGGCUCAGGAUGAACGCUAGCUACAGGCUUAACACAUGCAAGUCGAGGGGCAGCAUAUUUGUAGCAAUACAGAUGAUGGCGACCGGCGCACGGGUGAGUAACACGUAUCCAACCUGCCGUUUACUCGGGGAUAGGCUUUCGAAAGAAAGAUUAAUACCCGAUGGUAUAGAAGAAUCGCAUGGUUUUUCUAUUAAAGAAUUUCGGUAAACGAUGGGGAUGCGUUCCAUUAGGCAGUUGGCGGGGUAACGGCCCACCAAACCUACGAUGGAUAGGGGUUCUGAGAGGAAGGUCCCCCACAUUGGAACUGAGACACGGUCCAAACUCCUACGGGAGGCAGCAGUGAGGAAUAUUGGUCAAUGGAUGAGAAUCUGAACCAGCCAAGUAGCGUGAAGGAUGACUGCCCUAUGGGUUGUAAACUUCUUUUAUAAGGGAAUAAAGUUGGCUAUGUAUAGUCAUUUGUAUGUACCUUAAGAAAAAGCAUCGGCUAACUCCGUGCCAGCAGCCGCGGUAAUACGGAGGAUGCGAGCGUUAUCCGGAUUUAUUGGGUUUAAAGGGUGCGCAGGCGGGAUCUUAAGUCAGCGGUGAAAUUUUCAGGCUCAACCUGAACACUGCCGUUGAAACUGGGAUUCUUGAGUAUAGAUGAAGUAGGCGGAAUUCGUUGUGUAGCGGUGACAUGCUUAGAUAUAACGAGGAACUCCAAUUGCGUAGGCAGCUUACUAAGCUAUAACUGACGCUCAAGCACGAAAGCGUGGGGAUCAAACAGGAUUAGAUACCCUGGUAGUCCACGCCGUAAACGAUGAUUACUAGUUGUUUGUGAUAUAUUAUAAGUGACUAAGCGAAAGCGAUAAGUAAUCCACCUGGGGAGUACGCCGGCAACGGUGAAACUCAAAGGAAUUGACGG
This 913-nucleotide ribosomal RNA is filed under the name uncultured bacterium. Its description in RNAcentral is "bacterial SSU rRNA". It matches the Rfam family "Bacterial small subunit ribosomal RNA", at positions 8 to 916 of the family's 1533-position model. The record is from RNAcentral.